AGUCUGGAGCCAGUGAGCGAGAGAGGGAUGUGCGGCGCGCGGGGCGACGGGGGAGGGAGGCGGUCGGGAGGGCAGGGCCGGGCCCCACGGCUGCCGCUGCGGGCGGGGAGAUCGCGGCCGCGCACUCGCUCGGUCGGAGCGGGGAACUCCCCGGAGAGCUGGUCUCUACUUGUCAUGCAAAAAAACUUGGGCAUCUCUAGGAGCCUGAGAAUUUCCUUUAAGGAUGUGGAAACGUCCUCCGUCCCCACCCCUUCCCCAUUUCCCAGAGAAUCGUUGUCUGCCUUCCUGACGAACGGAAUUGUAUAAUUAGUAGUGCCCUUAGAUUUGGAACCAGUACUCCGGAUCCCUGGCCUCUCCUCGCCCCCUGCCUCUACUCACAAUUAUGUUAUCGGUCAAGAAAAGCAAAAUCAGACUGUGGCUCCCGGCUGGGUUUCUGGAGCUUUGUAGGGUUUUACUAGCACUUUCCGUGCCCCUGCGGGCGCGCGAACUAUUCACGUGCUCGAAACGCCCGGAUUACCUUCCCUGAGGUCACUCACCAGGGUGCCCCCGGCACCCCCAGUUCGGGGACCGCGGCCCGCCCUCGCCAGGGGAUUCAAAUAGGUGUGGGCAGCGGCGCGAAGAGCAGCUGCCGGUUUCCUGGUGGGCCGCGCUGGAACCUCGGGGCGAGCUGCCACCUUCAGCCUGUGCGCUUCCCUCUCCACGGAAGGGACCGGAGUUGAAAUCACAACCAACCCUGGGAGAGCGGGGCCGGGAGGCGGGGGAAUCCCAGGCGAGUGGGAGCCGAAGCUCUGGGCUUCCUCCCCGGCCGGGCGACACCCGGGGGACACCGGGGCUCUCUCGGGCCGUUACCCUGCCUAUGUGGACUGGUGUGCACCCUCGGGGGAGGUUCCUAGGGUGCCACGGUGCCCGAGCGCGACGAGUGACUGCUGGGGAGGGGGGCCGGGUCCCGGAGCGCCUCCUCCGGGUGGUCUCCCCCCCAGCGGGGACCGCGCGCAGCACCUCGCGGGCGCCCCAGCCCCCGCACCCUGCGGAGCAGAGCCGAGCGCCCAGGACGCCGCGGGCCCCAGCGGUCCUCCCCACCCCCUGGCCGCGCCGCCGCCCUGCCCGGGGCGGAGUAAACAAGAGACGCGCAAGAUUUGACCUGGCGCGACCCGGCUUUCUGGCCGGGGUUCCCCCUGAGCAGGUGACUCCGUGGGAGGGGUGGAAAUGAGUCUCUGGAAUUCCGGGCCAAAGACAAUAACUGUGGUUCUGCUUUUAAAGCAGGUAUUUCACCAGCAACUGCGGAAUGUUUUGUGUCUCCAGUUUCAAAUUUCGCGGAAAGGGACCAAAUGUGAGGACAUAUAAAAUAUCCCCUUCUCUUUUCAUUAAAAAUGAGUGCAUUACAAAGGAAGGGCAGCCCCUUAAUGCCUGCGAGAAUAGCGCUGCUGGUUUCGUUUUUGUUUUGUUUUGUUUUGUUUUUCAUUCUGACCCACAAUCAGUGUAUUUUUGAGGUCCCUAUGCAAUGGCGACGGUGCCGUGAAGGGCAACUCAGCAAAAUAAAGCGGUGAUACAUUUUUUAACCGAUUUUUUUCUCAGAGGAGAAAAAUCUGAACAAUUUGGCCUAAGUUUCACUUUGUCCUUCUCUUAGGUUGAUCUCAUUUAAAUUCAGGGCCUACUUCCACUUAAGCAACUUCUUCUUUCAUUGUAUAGGUUCUUUAAUAUCCAACCUUUUUAAACUUAACUUGAAGCCUUUAAUUUAAAAAACUGUCCCAAUCAUCAUUUUCUUUUCAAUGUAUGCAGUUGCAUUUUAAACAUCCAUUUAACACACAAAAUGUGAUUUUUGAAAUUUUUUUCACUUUCAAACCCACCUGCUACAUACUCCCAGAGAGCGUUUUAUUUAAUUGCUUAAUAGAGAAGAUUAAGCAGUUUCUUUAAGAAUCCAAUUUCCCUUCAACAAGCACAACAGCAGCUGCCCAAGCUCCCAGAAACUAAGCAAAGGCAAGUAGCAGGCAGCGUUUUGCUUCACUAGAAUGAAUGUUAGUUGAAACCUUAAAUACCUCUUUAAAAGACUAGAUUAAAGAGAAUAAUGGGAAUAUUAAGAUACUCCGGUAGUUAGUUAAAAUAUUUUUUAAGGAAAACCAGGCAGAUAUACAUCUAUUUUGAUGAUUUGAUCCCACCUUCAAAGAGGAUCCCUGAAAAGAGUUUUAGUCACAAUUUGACAAAUUUUAAAUAAUUACUUUGUUUCAGAGUCAUGAGGAUGGAAAGAAGAUAGCCUGCGUUGAGUUGAAGUAAAGUAAAAAUAUUAUGAAUAUGUGUAACUAGGUGACAUCCUCUCUGCUGGGAAGAAUCCUUUUUUUUUUUUUUUUUUUUUUUCUGGUGACAGGUUCUUGCUCCAUCACCCAGGCUGGAGUGCAGUGGCAUGAUCUUGGCUCACUGCAGCCUCUCCCUUUCAGGCUCAAGCAAUCCUCCCACCUCAGCCUCCCGAGUGGAGGGGGAGCCACUGCAGAUCUGGAGCAAAUCAGCACCAGCCACUCCAGAGCCUGACCUACAUAGGACUCAGAAAGCAUUGUCUAUUGUGAUUGAUUAUUCCUGUGUUCAGUCCCAAUGGCCUAUUGAUUGGGGGUUUCUCUCCAAAAGGCUGCAUGGCUUUUCUUCUCUAAGUGAAUCUCCUUUAUAACCCAUAUUUUAUGUCUAUAUACCAAACAUGCUAUCCAUAUUUAGUCAAUGUCCAGUUGCUUGCAUGUAAGGGCAAUAGAGUAAUCAGAAAACUCUUCCCAGAAAGCCCCCGAAGACAAAACUAGUACUGGUAGAAAACUGGGCAUGCAGCUCUAAGAAACUCUAUGGGAAGUGAGGCUGGGUGGGGCACAGCUGCCCCAGCCUGGCACCCAUAUGGAGCAUCAGCAAGGAAGUAGGAACUUUCUUUUCAUCAUGCAUCCUUCUUAUCACUUCUCAGUUUCAAAGGGAAAGAAAAUUUGGUAAUCUGCAUUUUGAGACAUUAAGAAAAUAAAAUAAUUAAUGGCUUCAUGGUUAUAUGGCAUUUUUCAGAGUAUUGUCAGAAAAUCAUUUCGAACUGAAAUUUUCAUUCAAAAAUAUUUAUUGAAUGCCGGCUAUGUGCUGAAGAUUCUUAAGAUACAUCAGUGAACAAAUCAAAGUUCCCUGCUUUCUUGGAGCUUGCAUUCCAGCGGGAGGAGAGGAUUUGGAGGAAGAAUGGGAUAGACAAUAAAUGUAAGUAAUAAAUUAUAUAGGACUUUGAAAGGUAAAAUGUUUGGGGGAAAAACAUAAAAUAGGGUAAAGGAUAUAGGUGGGGUGAGGGUUGUCCUGAUGCUGUAUUAAAUAGGAACAUCAGAGUAAGACUUGUUGAAAAGGGAGAUUUCUGCCAUGGUUUGAAGGAAAUACCUGGAGAUAUCUGGAGGACAGAGCUUUUCACAUGGAGGGAACAGCCAAGAUACAGCUCCAAUACCUGGAAUUUUUAUAGACAUCAAUGGGAAUGGUGUGGCUAGAAUAAAAUGAGACAGCCAGUGAACAGAAGGCCUCUCAGGUCACCGUAAGAAUUCCAGAAAAGCUUCAUAAAAGGCAAAUUUUGGGCCUUUAUCACUCAGCCCCAUGGAAUCUGAAUCUUUGUGGGCCCAGGACUCUGCAUUUUUAACAUGUAAAGCAAUUGUUACUUAUGUAUUCUAAAGCACAAGACCUCCUGCCACAGAGCAUGGGACCUGAUAUAUCCAGGCAGGAGAACUGGGUACCAGGAGACACUGUACAUGAAGUUUCCAGAACCAGCCAUGUCCAUCUUACUAAUCAAGACUCUCUCUGUUAAAUCUGCAACUCAAAUGACUUUAAGGAAAAAUGGAUUUCAUUGAUUCACAUAACCAUCACUCAAGGACUAACUUUCAACAUAGUGAGAUCCUGAGGCUCAAAUAUUAUUACCCGGGUUCCAUGAACUGCUUCCUCUGACAUGAGAUCUAACAAGGCUAAAGACUAAAAUGCAGCUGUUUACAGCGUAAGUAGGAGGCCGUCCCGUGCAGUGCAAAAUCAACAGAGAGGAGACAGUCCUAUGCCUUCGAGAGACAGUCUGCUGAUACUGUCAUGAUGUCUAGUGACAGGCCAGAGAUCAAAACCCAACACCCUCAUUUACCUGACAGUGAUUUGGCCAAUCCCUUAACAUCUCUAAGAGCUUCAUUUUUCUACAAAAUUGAGACAAUAGUAUUUGUUUCAUAGUGUUACUGUCAGGGUUAAAUGUUAUACAUUAAGCAUUUAAUAUAUGCUGCUUGUUUAUCUAAAUAUUCAUGGUCAGGCACUAACUUCUUAUGUGACUCUGAGCAAUGCAUUCAUCUCUGUACCUGUUUCCUCAUCCAUAAAUUGGGAGUUGAACAAGGUGAGCCCUAAGUUUCGUUCCAACUUCAAUAUUCUAUAAUUCUUGCAACUUAUAUGGCCUCAGUUUUCUUAUCUUUAUAAUGGGCAUAAGAGUACCUACCUCACAGAAUUUUUGAGAGGAUAAAAUGAAUUAAGACAGGUAGAAAAUUCUUAGAACAGUGCCUGCCACAUUGGAAGUGCUUAAUAUGUAUUAGCUGUGAUGAUGCUGCUAAUGAUGAAGAUGAUAAUGACCCUAUUUGCAGAUAGUAUGGCAGCCAUAAAACAUUCAGUAUCAGAUUGAUUACAUUCUCUUAUUUUCUGAGUCAAUGCCAGAGCUACCAAGAUUUUAUUCUUUAAAGGUUCUUCAAGACUAAAUUCUUUUUACAUGAUAUGAUUAUUACACAUUGUAUGUCCGUAUCAGACCAGCCUGGCCAACAAGGUGAAACCCCAUCUCUAAAAAUACAAAAAUUAGCAGGGCAUGGUGGCACGCACCUGUAGUCCCAGCUACUCGGGAGGCUGAGGCAGGAGAAUCACUUGAACCCGGGAGGCAGAGAUUGCAGUGAGCUGAGAUCGUGCCACUGCACUCCAGCCUGGCAGAGUGAGACUCCAUCUUAAAAAAUAAAUAAAUAAAUAAAUAAAUAAAUCUCAUGUACUCCAUAGAUAUGGGGUACCUACUAUGUACUCACAAAAAUUAAUUUUUUUUUAGAAAAGCCUAAGCUCAUUUGCUUCUUAGUAAGAAUUAUGUUAAGAUUUCCCAGUGUAGAUACCCUAGGCUGCUAAUUUUUUUUCUUUUGUUAUCAGUAUCUUAAGAAAUUAAUUGGCCCGGGAGUGGUGGCUCAUGCCUGUAAUCCCUGCAGUUUGGAAGGCCAAGAUGGGAGGAUUGUUUGAGGCCAAGAGUUCAAAACCAGCCUGGGCAACAUAGUGAGAUACUAUCUGUAUAUAAAAUAAAAAAAUUAGUGAGGCAUGGUGUCAUAAGCCUGUGGUCCCAGCUACUUGGGAGGCUGAGGUGAGAGGAUUGCUUGAGCCCAGGAGGUCAAGGCUGCAGUGAGCUGUGAUGGUGACACUGCACUCCAGCCUGGGCUAUAGAGCAAGACCCUGUCACCCUCCUCAAAAAAAAAAAAAAAAAGCAAUUAAUUGAUUUAUUUAUGGCCAUUCUCUCUUUUUGUGAGCUGGAUAUGUGUUCACUUUCAUUCUAAAAACGUACAGCCCCCAAAGCCCACACAUGUUGUCAAAGCUCACUACAUUUACCUAGAGAGUUUCCUGUAGUCUCCUCUUUCAAGUAUUUUAAAUAAUGCGUAAUUUCUUCAUGUAACUGAAACAUGUUAAUGUUGAGUUGGCACAGGAAGAAAAGUUUUGAUUUACUCAGAACUGGGAUUUGUGUGGGUCAUUUCCUAGUCCUCCUAAGUAUUUAACAAAUGUAAAAUGUAACACACAAUUAAAUAAGCUACCCAAGCCAAAUGAACUGGUGAGUGCAUUAUAAAUAGCAACCAAAAUUAUUCUUCAGUUGUUAACUGGUAUGUCCUGAUUUAAUAAUGAAUUACAUCAUUUGACAAAUGAGAUAAGACUUCCACCUUUAGCUUUCUGAUCCAAACUUCUAAUAGUUGAAAUGUAUUAUUACCAUCUGGUGUCUGGCCUCUGAAAUGCCCUGGCGAUAUCUGCCUCAUUUCAAGUAGUUGGGGCUUGCAUAUGCCAGCAAAGCACUCUCCGAAGUGUCUUGAUUGGCAGGCCCAGAGAGAAGGCUAAGAACCGAAUGAACCAUGGAGAUAUAGCUCCAGCUCUGUAGAAGUUUCCUCUGGUUCAAGGCAGACUCAUUUUCUUAGUUUGUGCAGCAAAAAAAUUGUCAUGAUCGAAGUUGUUUUUAUUUUGGAUCUCAAUCCUGAAGGAUGCAAUUCCUAUACUUACCAAGAAUGUUUCCAUCUGUUUUAAAUUAUUUCACUCCUUUUACAAACUGGCAAUAAUUUUAACACCUUUUAUUUUCAGUGAAAAUAAUUCGAGAAUGAAGCUGAGAAUGAUACAUAAGCCUAGAGUUUUAACUCAGUGAAGUAAUAUGAUUCUGACAGUUCUUUAUUUUUUCCACAUUGUGUUAGAUUCCUAGUAAAAAGGGAAGAUGAAUCUUAUUGCUUUCAAAAACCUGACAAUAUGGUAUGUAGGACAGAAUGAACAUACAUAGAACAAUAUCCAAUAACACAGAUGAAGGUGUCAAAGCCAUUGCCAGACAGAGUGGUGCAGAUUGUGAGAUCAGUUUUCUUGGUAAGUGUUAUGGACUGAAUGUUGGUAUUCUCUAACAUUCAUAGAUUAUAAUCUAAUCCCCAAUGUGAUGGUAGCACUAUCUGGGGGUGAGACCUUUGGGAAGUAAAGGUCUUUUUCUCUCCACACCUGACCAAAAGUAGGAGCUCAACAAAUGUAUGUGCACUGAAAUGGAAUGGGGGCAAACAGCCUGGUGGUAUAGUACAAAGCAAAAUUUGGUUAUGGUAGGAGCAGUACAGAUACAUCUGGAUCACAAUCUAAAUUCUCUCCAGGGACCAAAUACAUAGAUUUACCCCUUGGGUUAUUGGUCUGGUAGACUCUUAAUUUUUAAUAGGGUUUAUAUAAUCUAGACUUCUUAUAACCUCUGCCCCACUGGAUAUAGGUAUUACUCAGUUGAAGUUAAAAAUUGAAUAUAGGAUUAUAUGCAAUGCUUUAUCUAUAACUUUCUUGUAAGGAUAAACUCAGUACAUCUCUGGUUUUCUAAUAUUUUGGAGGAAAUGUUACAAAUAGGUAAGGAAAGUUUGAGCCUCAUUUACGCAUGAGGGUGGACCCCUCCUGAAUGAGAUUAAUGUCCUUAUAAGAAAAGGCCAGAGAGCUAGCUCACUCUCUUUCAGCAUGUGAGGACACAAGAAGCCCAGAGUCUGCAACCUGAAAGAGGGCCCUCACUAGAACCCAAUCAUGCUGACGCUGUGAUCUUGGACUUUCAGGCUCCAGAACUGUGAGAAAUAAAUUUCUGUUGUUUAUAAGCCAUCCAUUUCAUGACAAUUUGUUAUAGUGGCCUGAACAAAGACAAUAGGUAUAAAAGAGAAUUGAUAAAGAUGAAAUUUAGGAAUACAAUUAGAAGUGAAAUGCAAAUAACAAGAGGGUGACCCCGGAGUAGAAAAGUGUCUGUGUCUGGUAGAUUUGAAUAGUUUACAAAUGCCAAGCCUGUGCAAAAUAGGAGUUACCAAUAUUAAUGGCUGCAUCAUUACAAGGUGUAUCCAAAAGACACUUAAGAUUAAGUCUGUGUUUGUCAGUGGGGAGGUGAGAGUAGGAAAUGUUAAAUAACCUGCCCUUUGUCACUCAGCCAACAAGUAAGAGAGCAGGGAAUCAAGUUCAGAUCUAAGUCCUCUAAAGUUAUUCCCCAAACUCCUCACAGCUUCACUUAAUAACCAUUUCCUGCUUUGGUUGACUUUACAAAGAUGACCAUACAUUUGAGAGCAAAAGGGGAAGCUAUGAAUCAUUACAUCUGGACAAAUGGCAUGAAUCAAGAUCAUCCACUGCCAACUAGAGUGUAUGUUCAUCUUCUGUCUAUAUAUCUUCAUUCCCAGACAUCUACCAGACAUCCAGUGACUUAUCUGAGAAGUACACUUGGAGGUCAGUUUCUUGGAGUAAAUUGAUCAAAGUGUUAAAAUUCUGGAAAGUUAUUGUAUUUUAAAAUAGUUCACACAAAAAAAUAGUACAAUGAAAUGAAUCACUAUUAGUGGAAUUUCAGGCCCUCAGGUACCUGAUAAUAAGAACUCUUUCAAAACAACAUAACUUUCCUGGUACCUGUCAAAUCACAAUUUCUAUAUGAGAUAUGGCCAGCUGGGUAUUCAAGGAUAAUUGGUCAGCUACUGUGAUGAUUAAUAUGGAGUGUCAACUUGUUUGCAUUGAAGGAUGCAAAGUAUUGUUCCUGGGUUUGUCUGUGAGGGUUGUAUUAGUCUGUUUUCAUGACACUGAUAAAGACAUAUCUGAGACUGGGCAAUUUACAAAAGAAAGAGGUUUAUUGGACUUUCAGUUCCACAUGGCUGGGGAGGCCUCACAAUCAUGGUGGAAGGUGAAAAGCACAUCUCACAUGGCGGCAGACAAAAGCAGAGAGCUUGUGCAGGGAAACUCUCAUUUUGAAAACCAUCAUAUCUCAUGACACUUAUUCACUAUCAUGAGAACAUCAUGGGAAAGACCUGCUCCCAUGAUUCAAUUACCUCCCACUGGGUCACUCCUACAACACGUGGGAAUUCAAGAUAACAUUUGGGUGAGGAUACAGCCAAAUCAUAUCAAGGGUGCUGCCAAAGGAGAUUAACAUUUGAGUCAGUAGACUGGAAGAGGCAGACCCACCCUCAAUCUGAGUGGUUACCAUCUAAGCAUCUGCCAAUGCAGCUAGAAUAAAGCAAGCAGAAGAAAGUGGAAUGAGAAGACUUGCUGAGUCUUCUGGUCAUCAUCUUUUCCCCAUGCUGGAUGCUUCUUGCCCUUGAACAUCAGACUCCAAGUUCUUCAGCUUUCAGACUCUUGGACUUAGAGCAGUGGUUUGCUAGGGGCCCUCAGGCCUUCAGCCACAGACUGAAGCCUGCACUGUCGACUUCCCUACUUUUGAGGUUUUGGUACUUGGAUUGGCUUCCUUGCUCCUCAGCUUACAGCUGGCCUAUUAUGGGACUUCACCCUGUGAUCGUGAGUCAAUUAUCCUAAUAAACUCCCCUUCAUAUAUACAUAUAUAUUAUUAGUUCUUACCUCUAGCGAACCCUGACUAAUACAGAUUUCUAGAUGUACAGAUGGAUUGAGAGGCAAACACUCUAAAUUAACAAGGCAGAAAUGAAAGAGCUGUUCUGCCCAAGAUCUUCAGCACUGCUCAGACCUCUAUAAGAAUUUCUUAUCCAGUUCAAAACUUAUCAACUUAAGAAAAAUAUAGAAAAUUUGUAAAGCAUUCAGAAGAAACUAAAGACUAAAGCAAAAUGAUAUGUUCAAAUACUUAACACUGCCAAAAUGUAAUGCAUUUCAAUAAAGUGAUAUAUGUCCUUAACUCACACAAAUUAAUAAAUGUCUAAUAGACAUACAUAUGGGAAGUGAAUAUCAAAUGCCUGUGUACUAUUUGUAUAAAAUCUAAGUUAAAACUCAUUUCCAUCCCAAAGAUGUGUGAUAUGUAAAAUAAUAUUCUACGUAUUUUGUUUAAUUUUGGGGGGUCAUUUAAGAUUUUUUUAUUUGCAGAAAAAAGAUGCUACAAACAAAAUUAAUGGGAAAAAACAAAAAUUAGUACCAAAAGAGGAAACGAGGACAAGGAAAAACACGAGCACAUAGAAAAAUGUAAAAAUACUCAAGCCAGGCUCAGAGAACCAGCAUCCCUGACAGCAAGUGUUGUUAAACAUCCACGUGGGUUGCUAAGGAAGGUUAGGGAAUCUCCCUUUCCCAGAAGUCUUUAAAAAUAGGAUAACAUCUGUUUGGAUGGGAUAAUGGUGGUACUGCUUGACUUGGCAGCUUCUUAAGCAAACCUAUGGUUUGGUAAUUCUACCAUUUCUAUUUCUGAUUUGAAAAGUAACAAAUAACUUCAGUUCACCUAGAAAAUUGGGCCUUAUAAUGACUUGUAAUAUUGUCUUAUAAAACUAUUUUCAUUGUCAUUAAUAGUGCAAAGGUAGAUAAUUGAGGUUUUCAGAGUAUACUUGAAUUUGCAGCCAAGGCUCAAACUUUCCUUAUCUAUUUGUAACAUUUCCUCCAAAAUAUUAGAAAACCAGAGAUGUACUGAGUUUAUCCUUACAAGAAAGUUAUAGAUAAAGCAUUGCACAUAAUCCUAUAUUCAAUUUUUAACUUCAACUGAGUAAUGCCUGUAUUCAGUGGGGCAGAGCUUAUAAGAAGUCUAGAUUAUAUAAACCCUAUUAAAAAUUGGAGUCUGCCAGACCAAUAACCCAAGGGGUAAAACAUAUAUAUUUGGUCCCUGGAGAGAAUUUAGACUGUGAUCCAGAUGUAUCUGUACUCCUCUUACCAUAACCAAAUUUUGCUUUCUACUAUACUACCAGACUGUUUGCCCCCAUUCCUUUUCACUGCACAUAUAUUUGUUGAGCUCCUACUUUUGGUCAGGUGUGGAGAGAAAAAGCCCACAGUCCCUGCCCUUGAGGAACACAUAAUCCAAAAAAAAAUGCAUGGGUGGCUCCAGGUGUUGUAGGGUCUUAGGCAAGUAUAAUUUUGGACAUGCAUUUUAAGAAAAAGAAUACAAAAUUACAAAUGCAGAAUUACUAAUAAAAGUGAAUAUUUAUUGUAUAGAGAAAAUUAAUCACAACAAAUUACAAGUUUUAGCAUUCUCACAAAUGCCAGAAAUACCACAAAAUCUCAGAAAAAAACCUAUAUUUUGUAUUAAUUAGCUGACUGAUCACAUGUAUAAUUCUACGUGUUCUACUUUUGGUUGCAUAUUGUUGACCACAUGAGAAAAAUUUCUUUAUUUACUUAUUCAGAUGGAGUUUCGCUCUGUCGCCCAGGCUGGAGUGCAGUGGCGCUAUCUCAUCUCACUGCAACCACUGCCUCCCAGGUUCAAGCGAUUCUCCUGCCUCAGCCUCCCGAGUAGCUGGGACUACAGGGGCAUGCCACCAGGCCCAGCUAAUUUUUGUAUUUUUAGUAGAGACGGGGUUUCACCAUGUUGGCCAGGAUGGUCUCAAUCUCUUGACCGCAUGAUCCACCCGCCUCGGCCUACAAAAGUGCUGGGAUUACAGGCGAGAGCCACCACGCCAGGCCAAGAAUUGUUUAUAUUAUUUUCUAUACAGAGAAAACAGUGAUAAUUUAUUCAGUCAUUCCUUUGGCAUGAUUGAAAUUUGUUUUCUUUCUGGCUCACAACUCUUUAAUAAUUAUAAGUAAGUUUUCAGGAUUGUUGUCAAGUACAGGAAAACUUCAGUCAAAUUUCUUUCAUAUAUGAACUGCAAGAGCUAUAAGAUUUCAGGGCAUUGAUAAUUUUCUUGCAUGUAAGUAAUUUUAAAUACUCUUUCAAUUGAUGUUACUCAUUAACCAGCUUGUCACUGGUGUCCUUGUUGUAAUGGUGUAGUGUGAGUUCAAUUUUAUCUCUGUCAAUGUCAGGAUUGUGUAUCAAAUUUGAAAGAAAUUUAAGUAUUUUCUCAAAGAGUUCAUGUGAUUCAGUCCUCUGGGUUAAAUGUGUUAUCAAAAACUAAAAAGCCCAUUCAGUACUUCCCUCUUCCUGUUAAUGAAUUAUUGCUCUUUGUAUUAUCUAAAAAUAUUUCUGUUACAAUUUACUUCUUGAUGUCAAAGUGAUUUCUAUUUGACUUUAUCUCUCAAUUGUUUUUUCAUAUCCUAUCAAAUUUCAUCUGCAUUUUCUCCCAGUUUCUUAUUACAUUAAUUCAUAGAUGACAAAAGAGUUACUCUUCAUAUAUGCCCAUAUUAGGAGUCAUUGAUUUCUGUGGGUUUUUAAUUGAAAAGAUCCAAAACAUCUAUGCAAAUUCCAGUUAAAAUGAAGUAUUUAUGUCUUAUUAAUUUUUUGAAUAAUCUGUUCACUUCUUGUUUUUGUUACUCUUCCAUGACUUUAAAAAUAUAUUUCAGGGUCAUUAAAUUGCACUGUACAAUGUUUUAAGACUUGAGAAGCUUUAGUGUGGGCAAACCAAACCAUGUUGUUACCUUUAGACUCUUAAAAGAAAUACUCUUGUUGGCAUUUUAAAAGUUGAGGUAAAAUUACCAUUCAAUAAAAUGUACAUAUCAUAGUGUUCAGCUCAAUGAGUUUUGAAUAGGCCAGGCGCAUUGACUCACUCCUGUAAUCCCAGCACUUUGGGAAGCCAAGGCAGGUGGAUCAUGAGAUCAGGAGUUCAAGACCAGCAUGACCAACAUGGUGAAACCCCGUCUCUGCUAAAGAAUACAAAAAUUAGCCAGGCGUGGUGGCACGUGCCUGUAGUCCCAGCUACUUGGGAGGCUGAGGCAGGAGAAUCGCUUGAACCUGGGAGGCGGAGGCUGCAGUGAGCCGAGAUAGCACCACUGCACUCCAGCCUGGGCGACAGAGCGAGACUCUGUCUCAAAAAGACAAAACAAAUAGAGGGCAUUUCCAGCAUCCAGAAAGUUCCCUUUCUCAUCCGUACCCCCUUCCUCAUCCAUCCUCACCCCCAGAGCAACCCUUUUCUAAUUCUGUCACCAUAAUACAUUUCGCCUACUCUCAGACUUCACAUCAGUGGAAUCACUCAGUAUGUAAUCUUUUGUGUCUUAUUUUGCUCAGCAUGAUUUUGAGAAUCAACCACAUUGUUGCAUGUAUGGACAGUUUGUUCUGUCUUAUUAUGAAGUGUUAUUUCACUAUAUAAAUAUACCAUUAUUUGUUUAUUCAUUCUCCUAUCGAUGGACAUUUAGGUUCUUUCCAGCUGGGGCUGUUAUUAAUAAGGAUGCUUUGAAUGUUCUUAUACAAGUCUUUGCAUGGACAUGUGUUUUCAUUUCUCUUGGCUACCUAUCUGAGAAUACAAUUGUUCAGUAAUAGAGUAGAUAUAUGUUUAACUUUAUUAGAAACAUGGCAUAUGUAUUUUACGUACUCCCUCUAUAAGAAAAACACAAAAACAAGACAUGUAAUUGUUGCACAAUACUGAAGUGGCCCAAGAAUUAGGGUUCCUUAAAGGAAGCCUUCUUCCACCUGUAUUGAUCAUCCAUGGUAUUGAUCAUCCAUGGCUCCUCACCAGGCAUCAUUCUUUGGGUCAGCUAGGCAGAAUGACUUGCUGCUCCCUGAGUAUGUGAUGCAGUCUCUUCCCUAUGAGUCUCCCUACUAGGUACUUCCUCUGACUGGCUGCUCUGCUCUCAUCCUUUACCUGCCCUGUCUAAUCUUAAAGACUGGAUUUAAUCAUUUUCAUCUCUGGGAGGCCUUUCAUACCACCCUCCCCAAACCCCCAUCAUCACUGUCAAGGUUGAAUUAAGUGUCUCUUCUCUGUGCUCCCAUAGAAACUCAGGUUUUUCUCUAUAACUGCUAGUCUAUUUGUCUAUCUCCACUGCUAGACUAUAAGCUCCCUAUGGGUGGAAUCCUGUUCACUGUUAUGAUCUAUUGCCUAGCAAAGUUCUUGACCCAGAAUAGGUGCCUGACAAGUAUCAAUUGAAUCCAUGAAUAAAUAGUUGAGCAGGUUUGAUGUUGUUGGCAUUGGGUGAAGUUUAUUUAUACUUUAUGAUAUUCAGGUAGAAAUAGGUUGUUAGUUGUAUAGGUCUGGAGUUCAAAUAUUGGGCUUACGGGCAGGAGGAGGACAAGAGGUAUGGAUAUGGGAACUCCCCUUACUUUCAGUCACAUUGUAUACAGGUAAGAACUGAAAGUUUGGGAUUCAAUACAAAUACUUGAGGAAAGUUUCCAGUUUUGAAGAUAAUUAAGAGAGAAUGAGAGAAGGGGCCAAAUUGCAGUAGAUUAUGGUGUAAAUGAAAAGAGAAGGGGAGAAAUGCAAACAGUAUAGACAGAUAAUUCAAGAAUUUUGGUGCUGAGAUUCCAAGUAGAGCAAUUACAAUAUGUCCCAACAAACAGAUGAGAUUGGAUAAUGUUGUUUCUUUCACUUUUAUUUUUGUUAGUUUAAGAAGGAAAAGACAGCUAAGACUAUCGAAGGACCAGUGUCAUUGGACAGAGGAAAUUCUGUGACAGGUAUGAGAAGAUACAAAUGAGACAAAUUUAGUUCAUAUAAAGUUUUUACUGAGGUCUCACACCAUUAAGUCAUGAUAUGAGUUGGUUGGUUUGUUUGUGUCAUGAAUAGGGACUGCCUGAC
RNAcentral lists this long non-coding RNA (14000 nucleotides) under Homo sapiens (human). RNAcentral's name for it is "non-protein coding lnc-AIG1-8:11". The record is from RNAcentral. Lineage: Eukaryota; Metazoa; Chordata; Mammalia; Primates; Hominidae.